This 253-nucleotide ribosomal RNA is filed under the name uncultured bacterium. Its description in RNAcentral is "partial 16S ribosomal RNA". It matches the Rfam family "Bacterial small subunit ribosomal RNA", at positions 524 to 776 of the family's 1533-position model. The record is from RNAcentral.
UACGUAGGGUCCUAGCGUUGUCCGGAAUUACUGGGCGUAAAGAGCUCGUAGGUGGUUUGUCGCGUUGUUCGUGAAAACUCACAGCUCAACUGUGGGCGUGCGGGCGAUACGGGCAGACUUGAGUACUGCAGGGGAGACUGGAAUUCCUGGUGUAGCGGUGGAAUGCGCAGAUAUCAGGAGGAACACCGGUGGCGAAGGCGGGUCUCUGGGCAGUAACUGACGCUGAGGAGCGAAAGCUAGGGGAGCGAACCGG